GACGAACGCUGGCGGCGUGCUUAACACAUGCAAGUCGAACGGAAAGGCCCUGCUUUUGUGGGGUGCUCGAGUGGCGAACGGGUGAGUAACACGUGAGUAACCUGCCCUUGACUUUGGGAUAACUCCAGGAAACUGGGGCUAAUACCGGAUAGGAGCUCCUGCUGCAUGGUGGGGGUUGGAAAGUUUCGGCGGUUGGGGAUGGACUCGCGGCUUAUCAGCUUGUUGGUGGGGUAGUGGCUUACCAAGGCUUUGACGGGUAGCCGGCCUGGGAGGGUGGCCGGCCACAUUGGGACUGAGAUACGGCCCAGAAUCCUACGGGAGGCAGCAGUGGGGAAUAUUGCACAAUGGGCGGAAGCCUGAUGCAGCAACGCCGCGUGCGGGAUGACGGCCUUCGGGUUGUAAACCGCUUUCGCCUGUGACGAAGCGUGAGUGACGGUAAUGGGUAAAGAAGCACCGGCUAACUACGUG
RNAcentral lists this ribosomal RNA (468 nucleotides) under uncultured bacterium. Its description in RNAcentral is "partial 16S ribosomal RNA". It matches the Rfam family "Bacterial small subunit ribosomal RNA", at positions 28 to 507 of the family's 1533-position model. The record is from RNAcentral.